This is a long non-coding RNA of Cavia porcellus (domestic guinea pig), 2222 nucleotides long. RefSeq lists it as uncharacterized. The record is from RefSeq and is a predicted model, not a curated record. Lineage: Eukaryota; Metazoa; Chordata; Mammalia; Rodentia; Caviidae. The transcript has 4 exons.
CGUACGUUAGGAGAGGAACAAACUCCGGGACAUCACCCAGGCGGAUGAGCGAUUUUCUGGAGGGGUUGAUGUUCUCCAAAGUUUUUGGCGUCCCAAGGAAGCACAUGCCUUUAAGAAACGGUGUCGGAGGAAUCUUGGAAGAAAGGAGCUGGCAUUAUGGGCUGCACCACCAUGCCCAGUGAGGAGAGUUUUCUACUAUCAUAUUGAAGUUCCUUGCAUGGAGCACCCACUACCUACCAUAGAGGAUGAAGACAGCUAUUUAUAAGUGGCAGAGUUUUAUGGCAUUUGACAUUUAGGAAUACUGAUUCUGGGUUUAAGGGCACUUGCUCAUUGAAUUUAAUUGUACUGUGGAUAUAGAUACCCAUGGAGAGCUAGCUUGUCAUGUAAAACUUUAACCGUAUCAAACAUCCUUCAUCAGUGUGGUAGAUUGACAACUGGUGGUCAACGUGUAACACCCAACUGAACUGAUCAGCAUGGUGCUGGGUGUGGAAGGCCCACUUGUGGAUUGUUGCCAACAGUGGAAAAAGGAGAACUGGAGAGAAAGAGAUGGUGCUGAUGAUUCUCUUAGAAAAGGGAGUUGCGCUGGCCUUCCUGAUAGGAACUUGGCUGUUUUCAUUGUCAGAGAAGCUUGGGACCUGGUUAUUGGAUUUUUCAUCUUGAGACUCUGAUAUAUAUUUUGAAGGAUUUUUUUAACAACAUUUUGCUUCCUGGUUAUUCUGUCUUUGGAGGAUGAAUUGAGGAAUUUACUUUUUUCUGAUUUUCCAACAUAAUUGGAAUAUCAUAGGAAUUACCUGCACUCUGAAUUUUUGAUGGAGUUUUCUUGCUAAAUCAUUCAAACUUGGAGGCAUUUUAGAGCCACUGAGUUGAUUUUACAACUCACCAAUGGACUGUAAUCUUUAGCUUGGAAAACGUUGAUAUAAAGAGCCUGUGGUGGUGUCCAAUAAAGAGGUGAUCAAGAUGAGAAAAUAAAAGCUCAGCCAUUCAGUAUCUGCUGUAAUUCUUUGUGAGUACACAAACGCGAGUGGUGAAUUGGCUGUUUUCAAACAUCUUUCAAGGUUGUCAUCCUGUUCCAAUAUUGUAAUCUUGCUGAGGCAAAAGAAUAUUUCUGUGAGCAUACUGGAAAUCUUUUAAACAAAAGUUUACCAAGAUGAACUUCUUGUAAUUACUUUAGAUCAAUGAAGACAAUGGAAAAUAUUUCAUAUUUAUCACAUUGUAAUAUAAUCUAUGUGAGUUUGAAGAAAUCAAAUCUGAAUUGUGGAUUGUUGUCUUACCCCUUCACACAUUCCAAUCGUCUCGUUUCUAUUGAUUACAAUUCCAUCAUUUGUAAAAUUAAAAUGAAUUUUUUAUUUUUAUUUAGAGAAAAAAAACAGAAAAAGUGUAGAAAUAAUACAGACUUUUUUUUAAAAAAGACAAAACAAUAGAAAUCACUAGUUGAUAAAUUACAUUUAAGUUCCUUCUCGCCAAGAAAGAAAAAAAAAUCUAUAAUUUAUUAUAAACCUACACAGAGCACCAAUUUCUCUCUCUUGCUGUCUCUUUCUUUCACACAGUCACAUACAAAGUAUUAAGAUAAAGAAAACUUAAUGUGUUCUCCUAUUGAAAUAUACAGUAUAGACAUUGGUUUGUUUUAAUAUAGGAAGUGAUGCGUAGGAUGGUUUCUUUGUCAUGUUUGUUACAUAUUUUCAGAUACAUAAUUUUUAUUCAUAAGACAUUUGUACUAUAGUUGUCUUUUUUUGUUAGUUGCUGAUUGGGUGUAAUGUAGUUUAGUUGCUGUGACUUCAGGAGUUUUUGCAAAUUAAGAGGAAUUAUACUGGUCUAUGCCUGUAUCAUUAAGCAUGUCUAUACUCCAUAAGUGCUAAAUGGCUCAUGUUUAAAUACUUGUUCUAACUGCUGCCAGGUACCUCUAUGAAUGAUAUUUGGUAACUUAUGUUUACAUUUAAGAUAUAAAUGUCUGUAUUUCCCACCACAAUUAAUCGCUUAUGUUAGCCAGUCAUAUAACCAUCCAUGCUCUACAAUGAGAUAUGACUAAGAGAUUUGAUGUUUUUAAUUUACCACUGUCUGGGAAAAUUCCUGUGGGGUGAAAGAGUCUCUGCUCCAGCUGUACUGGGCUAUAUUUAGUUCCUCAAAUGCCUUUGGUCAUUUUGUCUUUUUACAAACUUUUUUGGUGGAAAAAUUCAAAAAUAGAUACAGAAUGCUAGUAUAAUGAACCCCACUUAUUCAUUGCC